GACGAACGCUGGCGGCGUGCUUAACACAUGCAAGUCGAACGAUGAACCACCUUCGGGUGUGAAUUAGCGGCGAACGGGUGAGGAACACGUGAAGAAUCUGCCUUCAACUCUGGGAUAACUCCGGGAAACCGGGGCUAAUACCGGAUAUGAGCCUUGAUCGCAUGAUCGGGGCUGGAAAGUUUUUCGGUUGAAGAUGACUUCGCGGCCUAUCAGCUUGUUGGUGAGGUAAGGGCUCACCAAGGCGACGACGGGUAGCCGGCCUGAGAGGGCGCCCGGCCACACUGGGACUGAGACACGGCCAAGACUCCUACGGGAGGCAGCAGUGGGGAAUAUUGGGCAAUGGAGGAAACUCUGACCCAGCGACGCCGCGUGAGGGAUGAAGGCCUUCGGGUUGUAAACCUCUUUCAGUAGGGAAGAAGCGAAAGUGACGGUACCUACAGAAGAAGCACCGGCUAACUAUGUGCCAGCCGCCGCGGUAA
RNAcentral lists this ribosomal RNA (479 nucleotides) under uncultured bacterium. RNAcentral describes it as "partial 16S ribosomal RNA". It matches the Rfam family "Bacterial small subunit ribosomal RNA", at positions 28 to 523 of the family's 1533-position model. The record is from RNAcentral.